This 1140-nucleotide long non-coding RNA is filed under the name Olea europaea (common olive). RNAcentral's name for it is "long non-coding RNA (OEUR_LNC007792)". Lineage: Eukaryota; Viridiplantae; Streptophyta; Magnoliopsida; Lamiales; Oleaceae. The record is from RNAcentral.
UCACACACACUGGAAACCGGUCAGAGAGGGAGAAGAUGCAGAGAAGGGGAAAAACCAAGGGAAAAAGGGAAGAAAAGAAAAAGAAAGGAAGGAAGAAGGAGGAAGUAAGUGUUGAUUUCUUCAUACUUGGAUUUAUUUACUUCAUUUCUUUAAGAGAUUAAGAAGUAAAUGUUUUAUAGUAUUAUGAUGUUAAAUUUCUAGUGUUUAAUUAGUUGGUUAAAUUUGUGGGUUUAAUUUGCAGAUUUAGUGAAAGGAGUAUAAUUUCUUGCUUAAAUUGCUUGAUGGAUAAAUUUUUAGUUUAAUCAAGGUUAGUAAUACUAUUUUUAGUAAACCCUAGAUUUCUAAUUGAAUGCUUGAGUAAAGAUAGUUUGGGGAAAUUAUAGUAUUGAUGAAAUAGACACUUGAAAGGAUUAAUUUAAUGGUCUAGAUGUAACUUAAAUUGCUAUAAGAGAGAAUUCAAGUUUCACAAGAAUAGAAGAAGAAAUUCUAUGUUUGGGAUGAAGGUAAACUUGGAUAUGUACAUAUUUGUGAAGGUAUUGGAAACUACAAAUAGCUCCAAUUGAUUAAAGGAAAAUUUGGAAAAAUUAUUCAAGUAUCGAGAAAUCGAGUUUUGGUUUUUAGUUAUUAAAUAUUAAGAGCUACAUAGUAUGAUAGUCGUUAAAUUGGUCAUUUUGUAUCACAUUUCAGGUGGUGACUAAGAUAUUGGAAAAGCUUAUUGAUAUUCAUAACCUAUAGCUUGUCUUGGUGAGUGGAUAUAAAGCUUAUUUUUCAGAAAUUAAUAUUUAUUAAAUUUAUGUUAGAUAAGAAAAAUUUAUUAUUUCAUACAGUUGAUUUGAUAGCGUGAUUUUUAGAAUAAAGUGGAUUUAUAAUUAAUUACUUUUUAAAGUUAAAUUCAGUUUAAUUAAAUCAUUUCAUUAGCAUGUUUUAUUCGAAUUACAUAUUUCAGUAUAGCUAAAGUUAUUUUUAAAACUUACUAGAAAAUAACCAGGUGAUUUUACCCCAGUUUGCACUGGUAUGAAUGUGUUUCCACAGUGUAUGACCAGUUAUGGUGAUUUUACCCACUCUGCACUAUUGUGAAUGUGUUUCCAUAGUGUAUGACCAGAUUAUCAGAUUAUCAAAGGUCUUUGGGAUCCACUCUCG